RNAcentral lists this ribosomal RNA (460 nucleotides) under uncultured bacterium. Its description in RNAcentral is "partial 16S ribosomal RNA". It matches the Rfam family "Bacterial small subunit ribosomal RNA", at positions 338 to 795 of the family's 1533-position model. The record is from RNAcentral.
CCUACGGGAGGCAGCAGUGAGGAAUAUUGGUCAAUGGCCGAGAGUCUGAACCAGCCAAGUAGCGUGAAGGAUGACUGCCCUAUGGGUUGUAAACUUCUUUUAUAUGGGAAUAAAAUGUUCCACGUGUGGGUUUUUGUAUGUACCUUACGAAUAAGCAUCGGCUAACUCCGUGCCAGCAGCCGCGGUAAUACGGAGGAUCCGAGCGUUAUCCGGAUUUAUUGGGUUUAUAGGGUGCGUAGGUGGAUUGUUAAGUCAGGUGUGAAAGUUUGCGGCUCAACCGUAAAAUUGCAGUUGAAACUGGCAGUCUUGAGUACAGUAGAGGUGGGCGGAAUUCGUGGUGUAGCGGUGAAAUGCUUAGAUAUCACGAAGAACUCCGAUUGCGAAGGCAGCUCACUGGACUGCAACUGACGCUGAGGCUCGAAAGUGUGGGUAUCAAACAGGAUUAGAUACCCCAGUAGUC